GACGUAGGAGGCGAGCGUUGUCCGGAUUCAUUGGGCGUAAAGCGCGUGUAGGCGGCCAUACAGGUCCGUUGUGAAAACUCGAGGCUUAACCUCGAGACGUCGAUGGAAACCGUAUGGCUAGAGUCCGGAAGAGGAGAGUGGAAUUCCUGGUGUAGCGGUGAAAUGCGCAGAUAUCAGGAAGAACACCCGUGGCGAAGGCGGCUCGCUGGGACGGUACUGACGCUGAGACGCGAAAGCGUGGGGAGCGAACAGG
RNAcentral lists this ribosomal RNA (253 nucleotides) under uncultured bacterium. Its description in RNAcentral is "partial 16S ribosomal RNA". It matches the Rfam family "Bacterial small subunit ribosomal RNA", at positions 524 to 776 of the family's 1533-position model. The record is from RNAcentral.